This 253-nucleotide ribosomal RNA is filed under the name uncultured bacterium. RNAcentral describes it as "partial 16S ribosomal RNA". It matches the Rfam family "Bacterial small subunit ribosomal RNA", at positions 524 to 776 of the family's 1533-position model. The record is from RNAcentral.
UACGUAGGUGGCGAGCGUUGUCCGGAUUUACUGGGCGUAAAGGGCGUGCAGGCGGUUUGUUAAGUGCAGGGUGAAAGCUCCCGGCUCAACUGGGAGAGGUCCUUGCAUACUGGCGAACUCGAGGGAGGCAGAGGAAAGUGGAAUUCCCGGUGUAGUGGUGAUAUGCGUAGAUAUCAGGAAGAACACCCGUGGCGAAGGCGGCUCUCUGGGACGGUACCGACGCUGAGACGCGAAAGCGUGGGGAGCGAACAGG